UUCAACUCCUCAAACAAUGUCAGAUCUCAAAAACAGUUUCAAACGAGAGCCUCUGGAACAGAAUCAUAAAACUGAGGUUGGAAGGAAUUCCUCUAGACAGUUGAGUCCAGCCUCCCUUGCUCCAAAUAGAGUUGAACAGACCAGGUUACUCAGGAUCAAAGGCUUUCCUUCAGAAAAAUGUUUGGUUUUCUGAAGAGAUUAAAAAGCAAUAAACUCCUACAAGGAAGGCCUUCAGCACUCCCUUGCAAACCAGGAAGCAAGAUCAGUACUUUGAUAGCAUCUGAGACAACCAUGCAUUUUAAAAAAGUUCCCCAACCAAACUGUAGUAAGAUCUACAAUAAAGAGGCAGCAGGCUUGAAAGAUGUCAUUAGCAAAAACACAAUCAAAUUCUACAAAGAAGCAUAAUUCCAGAUAUGUAACAACUGAAACCCAGAAGAAAAGCACAUGACACAGCAGUCAGGAGAUUUCACCUCCUGGCUGAAACUACACAUGCAGACUGUGGGGUAUCUGCACUUGAUCCAACCAAAGGGCACUAUAAACACAACUGUCUGGCCACAUAAAAUUUAAAAAUUCGUUCUCAACCAGCUAGGAGGAUGUGUUGUAAGUUCCUUUACCACUCAAAAUAUUUGUUAGCAGCAAACCAUUGCAACAGUUUCCUUCUUUUUUGGUCCUCGAGUUACCUGCUUCAAGAUCACUGAAGCAUGUGUUUGCACAACUGUGAACAGCUCUAGGAACAAAGAAUUUCAAUUCUUCCCCCACCAAACUUACCAGCUUCACACACUAGUGCCUCAUAGUAGUACUUGAGCUAUCAACAGUUAAUUAAUUGGACCACUUGAAGCAAACCUGCAUUACCUCUUUCUGAAAGCUCAUCAGUGUAGUGAGGCUGAGCCUGACAACCCCGUGCAAACCCAGGCCACGGGAGGCUCGGCCAACACGUGUUAUUAAGCAGCUCACACCAGCCCCAAGUCCUCAUUGCUUUAAUUUCCAUUUGGCAGUGAGCAGCCAGUUAAUGUUUACACAGCAAUGUAACCCUAUAUGACAGUGCUACUUCUAAUUAAGAUGGGUGUUCUGGAGGAACACAGUCGUGACUGUACCAAAGGUACAAGUGUGCGUGUCCGUGUGUAUAUCUAUCUAUAUAUAUAUAUAUAUAUAUGUGCACACAUACACACAAAACCAGAAUCUGGACUACAGCACAGUUCUGUGUUAGCAGCUUGAAUAAUGUUUAGAAAAAGUGCUGUAGGCACACAUUUUAAAUUUAAUGCAUCUGUUCUUGCAGUGACUGCCUGGGAUCACUCCAGAACAAACCUAGCUCCAUCGCCAGCCUCCCCGAGCCUGAGCUUACAUAAUGCUGCACAGCAGACCCAGGCAGGGAUGCUGCCUUACCGGGGGAGCCCCAGCAAGGAUAUUCCCCUCCUAUUACCCAAACGUGCUCCUAACAAGACUUUCAGUUAUUGCUGAGGGUCUGAAACAAGUAGAAUGAAGGUAAACUACUGCCUUAUCAUUGACAACACAUCAGAAUUUCGUCCACAAAUUUCUUUUUUUUUUUACACCACUGAACUCAGUUUCCUAGAAACUAGGAAAAAAAAAAAAAACAAAACUAAUUUUUAGUAAGCUGCAGUACAGCUCCGGCAGAUGACAGUCCCUAGGCAGCAGCACCACUGGGUGACUAAGCAAACCAGUCCUAAAAGCUUUAUUUGACAACAACACAACAGGCUGGCGGCCGAGCUCAAGCCAAACCUGAAUUACAGCAGUAAUUUACUCGUCUAAGCCUGAAACGCCGAGCUCAGCCACCUACAGCUGCGCCUCCCAUCGCCAUUCCGGAUGGAUGCCCGCUGCUUCCCCCUCGCCUCCCGCGUCAGCGCCGGUAACCAGGAGCCAGGUGGAUCCAGGUCACCUCUGUGGUCCCUUCCAGCCUGGAUUACCGUCUGCUUCUGUAAUGUGUGCUCCCCUGGAACUCUUCCUAACAGCUGAGUGAACAGCCAGGUGAUGCUUGGCAGCAGACUUGGACACUAACAGAAGUUCCUCAGAGAUCCUGCUGUUGAUAACGACAUAAGCUCUUUGUUCGCUAUUGAAUGGGACCUAAUUUUCAUUUUUAAUUUAUAUGUAUCUUGUAUAGAGUGUGAAGCCUCCAGACUACAUCUAACAUUACUUUUAUUGUACCAGCAUCACAUUUACCUCUUUCUUCCAUAAUCACACCGUCUCAUAUUCCAGUGCUGAGAACCAAAUUCAGUGCACUAAAAAACACUGCCUUUAUUUUCCUUAAAUUAUUAUUUUUUAUUUAUAUUAAAACCUCUUGGUUUAGAGAAUCAGACAAUAAGAGAAAGUGGCCAGUGAAAAACCUGUCUACAAAUUCUAAAUUCCCUUUCCCAGUGUUGCCAAAGACCAAGGUUUCUGAUUUGGCUUUUGACCAGCAAGCACAAGCUCACAGACUGCAAAUCAGGCUCAGCAAAGGGGGGGAUGGGAUUUGCUCUCAACACAAGACAAAUCUAAUGGAAUCUAGGAAAAGGCAGAAAGCUAAAUUCCAUGCUUAAUUAUAGUUGUGGAUAAAUUUAAUUCAAAAUUAUACUGCUGAUUAUACUUGGUACAGCUCUCUACAGCUUUCCAAAAAAGAAAAUUCCAUCCUCAGUGAACUUUGAAUUCUACUGUUGAAUUAGAAGUUUGGGAAAGUUAAAACAGCAAAAACACCCCACACCCCCAAAAGAGACAGAUGGCUGUGACAGAUAUGCCAUAAUCACACACAGCACCUCCCACUGUGCCCUACAUAUCGUACAACCAACCUGCCCAGCCACUCCAGAUGCUUCCCGUUAUCUGCUGUGGAAAAGCAGCUGCUGCAGCGGCGAUAGCCCAGCUCCUGUGAGUCAGUCAGUAUUCAUGGCACAAACCCCCAAACCUGGCUGAAGCUGUGAGGCAAAAACAAGAUUGCUUAAAAAAGGGGUGGCCCAACUUCAGUUGUUCUGCACACAGGUAACGAUUGCACUGCAAGUAAUCCUAAAGCUGAGCAUUGCUCCCCUGAGUGCAGACAAUCACACCAGUAUCAGCCACGGGUAAAUUACAGUUAAGGGCCUUUGACCACUGAGAACAUGGAGGAGGAAGGGAGCAGCUUAACACCAAAUACCUGAAAAGAUUGGAGCAACUGAGCUUGAUUUAAUGCUUAAUCAGAUCCAGAAGAGCCCUGACCUACAUAUUCACAGCAUCCCUGGGCUGCAGGCACAGCCAGUUGAGCAGCCAUGCAGCCGCAGGGGAAGAGAGUUUAACGUGCUGAACGUGAGGGAGCAGCCUCCUGGACACAGCCCUGCAUCUGCUUCACAGCCUCAUGUUCCCUUCUUGGAUGUUUCUUUCAGGCAAAAAUUAAUGUGCCCUCCACUCUUCAGAGCACCUCACAUUUCACUUUGGCAGAGAAACACAAUUUUUUUUAGCUGCUGGUGGUGAUUUAGAGACUAUGGAGAUAACACAGUGGUUAUUUUUCAAUACAAAUGUGAUCUGGCAUUGUCAAAAUCUAAUGACAAUCAGGCUUGAAAGAGCUCAGCUUUGCUCCAUCGACAAGUUGGAAAAAUCCACAGGAAAAAAUCCACAGAACUCAUCCUGAAUUCACUUAAGGAGAGCAAGCCAGAGAGAGAGCCAGAUAUGACCAUGUAAUCUGAAAAAUAACCUAAUCUACAUGUAGGGGAGAAUGAGACUUGCUGCAAAAAUCAUCCUGUUUUUUUUCAGGAUUAAAAAAGAUGAAGACCAUUUUUUAAAACAAGCAGCCACAUAAAGUUUGAAAAUAAUUGAACUGACAGGUUCCAUGUAAAACCAGAAAACAUCAGAAUUAUUCAUGUGAGAGAGAUGGUAGAAGGACACUGCCAAGCUCAAAGGCCUGGGCCACUGUUUUUUAAAGUGUUCUUGGAACAAUGCAGCAGCAGAAGAGCAAAAUUCUUGUUCUCAGUACAAGUCUAAAAAAGCUAAUUAUAUAAAAAGCUAAUUAUUGCAUUUCUACUUCAUCAAAAUUUGUAUUGAAGCAGCAUCCUUGAGACAGUGUCACUUUUCAUAGAAGUUGUACCCCAGCAAUGAAAAAUGGUGGGUGGCAGAGCCCAGCACUUGGGUGAGAGUCCAGGUCAGAGAAUCAGAGAAUCCUAGAAUGGUUUGGGUUGGCAGGGACCUUAGAGCUCCUCCAGUUCCAACCCUCUGCUGUGGACUAGACCAGAUUGCUCAAGGUCCCAUCCAACCUGGCCUUGAACACUUCAGAGAUGGGGCAGCCACAGCUUCUCUGGGCAACCUGUGCCAGGGCCUCACCACACUCAAAGGCAAGAAUUUCUUCCCAACAUCCAAUCUAGUCCUGCCCUCUCUCAGUUUAAAGCCAUUCCCCCUUGUCCUGUCACUCCAGGUCCCUGUCCCAAGGCCUCCUCCAGUUCUUUUGUAGCCCUUUUAGGCAUGGGACUGAGGCCAGGGAGGCCUCUCAGAUCUCCCUGGAGCCUUCUCUUCUCCAGAUGAGCACCACCAGCUCUCCCAGCCUGGCUCCAGAGCAGAGGGGCUCCAGCCCUCAGAACAUCUCCAGGGCCUCCUCUGGUAUUGCAGGUCCAUGUUCUUCCAAUGUUGGGGAUCCCAGAGCUAGACACAGCAUGGCAGGUGGGGAUUCUGGAAGCAGAGUAGACACCAAUGGACUGACAAGACCCAAUAACCAAAUCCUGUCAAGCACACACCAAGUGAGAUUUUUUUAAUCAGCUUCUAUUCCUUCAUCUAACAGCACUCCCAUUCCCCUUAUAUAACAAUGGGGAUUCGAGAUACUUUAAAAAACUGAAGAUGAAGAGGAGGAAGACUGAAAAUAGAAAUACCUACCUCAAACCUAUUUGCAGCACCUGUUUCCUAAUCUCACCCUCACUCCACCUCCCCAUAUUUAAACAGUGAUUUUUGUACCAGUUCUGCCCUGGCAUCCUCUGAAAUCAUCUGGAGCACUCUGGAGGAGCCAAGCCCGGAUCCUCUGGCUGCCGAGGGUGAGGGGUCACUACCUGCAGCCACGUUGGAAGCAGUGCAUGUCAGCCUUGCCGGCAGCAGAGCGGCUCCCGGCCCUGGCGGGUCACGACACGCCGGUGCCGCCAAGCGGGGCAGUGCCACGCGGUGGCGCCGGGGCUCGCACCUAGGGACGGGAGAGCCAGCGAGCUCAGCCCCGGAGAGAUGCGCUCCCGGGCAUUCCCGGGAAAAUGGAAAGCGCAGAUUUUCUGUAGGUGGCCUUGAGAACGACCUUCAGUGGUACCGUAUAAAACUGUAAAAAUCCUUGAUAUAAACACAAGGGGAAGGGAACUGGGUUAGCUUUACAGGGCUGUCUGGCUGUCUGGUCUCCAACGCCGGAGCCGUUCAAAAUCCAAAAAGCAGAUUCUGGGCUGGUUCUGACGCCACAGAUGAGUGAGCAGUUGCUUUGAGGUUUCAAAGUCCAUGGGAAUAAAUACAGUGUGUUUCAGAAGUCAGCAUUUUUAAAUGCAUUCAAAGCAUUUUAAAAAGAGAUUCCAGGGGAGAAAGGGACAGUCCAAUAACAUUUCGAGAUGGCUGAGCUAAAGCUGGAUAAACUCAUGACCAGACAAACAGAACCCAUCACCAGCCUUUCUCUCUCCCAGGAAGCUGUGGCAUCCCCUCCCCUGGGCAUUGUCCCUGCUCCAGCAGCAGCCGGCUGUGUUCCUCUUCCCCGAGGACAAACACAGCAGUGGAAAAGGAGCAGAGCUGCCUGAAAAGUGGGUCAAGCGUGGCAUGAAACACCCACCAUAGAAUACUCCCAGGCAGGGCUUCUCCAGCCGUGUGCUCCCCCACCAGCACCCCCCCCCCAUUUUCUUUAUAAAAUAAAGAAGCAGAAUAGAGCAGCCAUCGCUGCCAACUCCUGCACUGAUGGCCACGAUAAAGGUUUUUCACAGCAAGCUUUAGGGUUAGGCUGGCUGUAAGGGGGUGUUUUCUCAAACUCCUGAAAAAUAAAGACAUUUGGGAGCCAGGCUAAAGCCCUUCAGCCCAAUCGAUCAUGCAAUUAUCAAUGUAAACAGGACUCUCCUCUUUUACAGUUCAGCACUUUCGGUUUUAAAUGCAUAAUCUGGAAAACAGUUUAUAGAUUUAUUGAAAUUAAAAAACAAACCCAACUAAAGCAACAUAAACAAACCAAAAGAACUUCAUCUCAAAAAUCCCAGAUGUAUUUGGGGGAAAUCUACUGAGGAAGAUGUAUACAGAAGUCAAGAGACCAAAAGCAAAGAUUUAGUUUCAUUUAUAAUAGCUGCAAAAUGGAGAAUGUUCUCCUCAAAAUCACUUUCCUGCAAGUUCUCAUGUAGGAUGCUCAUCCUGAUCACACUGCUCCUCCUCUAAUUAGCAGUCCCAGGUUCUAUUAGCAACUAAUGUUUUAUACAUUAUUUAUACCAGCAGCAAUCAUUUUAGUCUCCAUCCCAAAGUUCUGUUCGCCAAAGAGUAAUUAAAGAGAUCAGUAGUCCAACUCAUCUUAAAAGACUAAAGCUUUUAAGCUCCAGCACAAGUUUUAAAAGGCAAAAAACUUGCAGCACUGCUUAAUUUAAACCAAAAGUGUUGUUUCAGCCUUUUUCCCUGUCCAUAUGCCAAAGCACUCUGGUCCCUUGCUCAAGAAUGCAGCCUGCCUUUAUUCCCAUCCAGAAGGAGUAAAGCCAAAUGAAUUAGAGCACCAAAAUAACUUUCUGUAAAACCACAGAAGGCUGACUCAUGAACUGCUGACUCAGCAGGGCUUUGUUGGUGUGUUCGUGGGUACUGAAAGAUUUCUACGCAGUCCAGUGUGAUUCUCACUUAACACUUAACCUGUUUCCAGCCUUCUCCCAGAACUUGCAGAACACCAAUACUCUGUGUCAUGACUGCCAUAGAACACAGAAGGCACCCAAUGCCUUCUACAAGGCUUCAGAAAUCUCUGCUUGCAGACAUUUUGCUCCAAAAAUCCAAGCUCAUACGAACCAUGAGUAUUGUUGCAAGAAAAAUGGAACACAUAAGCCAUUUCUCAGGCAAAAUUUGCUCUAACCUACACACCAACCCUUAAAAUACAUUAAGAGUUUCCAGGAGUGCUCUGCAUCCAGACAAAAUAAGCUGCAAUUAAAGCAAUAAGUGUGGAACAGGUGUAUAGUGGAGGCACACCUUCAACUCACUGAAUUUGGAGCAACAUUUAAUUUGAAAUUCAAAACUGUGAUCACACUUACAUCUUACAACCAUUUUUCCUGAAUGAGUAUGAGUACUUAUUCUUCACCCCGCCUCCCAAGGUCACAGCUCCUCCAAGAGCAGGAACUGCACUCCAGUAUUGCUAAGGAAAAGAAUGUGUUUAUUGAACUAAGAAAGAAGGCCCAAAAUUAACUCAGCACUAUCAUAGUGGUUUGGUUUUAUCUUGUACAGGAGGAAAUCCUUUACGAGUCUGGAUAAAUUUUUUAAUUGUCAGAGCAAGGACUUGUCCCAAGGUCCUUGAAACAAAAUUGCUUUCUAAAGAGGACCCAGUGCUUCAGUUUACUACUUUAAAAAUCAAAAAAAUUCCCACGGAACAUGGAUAAGAAGGUACUGGCACCUCUCAGCAGUUUUUUUCUGUUACUAGAGGAGCUUUUUACAGGAACUGGACCAAGACAGAGGCAGGUGAAAUGACACAGCUACCAUUGGCAGGAUGUCCCCUCACCGCCUUUUUCACAGGGCAGAAUUUGUUCUGUCACCAUCCAGACAUAUGGGGAAGGAGGCAACACUCUCUCCGCACUCUCCCACAUCCCGUAUCCUGCCAGGGUAUGAUCAGAAGACCUAAACGAGGUAACAUUGCCCAGGCACGUGGGACAGGGAUACUGAGUGCGUACAGCAGCAUCAGCAGCUAAAACAAUCAAAAUGAGGUGAGAGUCACACACAUUGGUUACCUUGGACAAACAUUCACCUACAGCAGCAGCUUGGGCAGCAAUGGAGCAGGGACUGGGGAAGCAGCCGGCCCCAAGCUCCAGGGAUCUGUGAAGGGGGGCCAUAAGUAGACGAACAAAGCACAGAGUAUAAAUAGGCAGAAGAAAGGUGUAGAAAGAGGGUGAAGGGGGGGAAAUUUGCAAAUCUAUACAUUUCUGUAUGUACAGAAUACACAUUUUGUCUCUUGUUUUUGAUUUCAUAAGCCCUUAGUUUAGGACAGGCCUG
Molecule: long non-coding RNA, 8109 nt
Organism: Serinus canaria (Common canary)
Lineage: Eukaryota; Metazoa; Chordata; Aves; Passeriformes; Fringillidae
Exons: 2
Source: RefSeq, a predicted model, not a curated record